RNAcentral lists this ribosomal RNA (481 nucleotides) under uncultured bacterium. RNAcentral's name for it is "partial 16S ribosomal RNA". It matches the Rfam family "Bacterial small subunit ribosomal RNA", at positions 28 to 507 of the family's 1533-position model. The record is from RNAcentral.
GAUGAACGCUGGCGGCGUGCCUAACACAUGCAAGUCGAACGGAGAUUACGGACGGAAGUUUUCGGAUGGAAGACUGUAAUUCUUAGUGGCGGACGGGUGAGUAACGCGUGGGCAACCUGCCCUAUACAGGGGGAUAGCAGCUGGAAACGGCUGGUAAGACCGCAUAAGUCGGCGAGACCGCAUGGUUUUGCCGGGAAAUGAGCAAUCAGGUAUAGGAUGGGCCCGCGUCCGAUUAGCCAGUUGGCAGGGUAAAAGCCUACCAAAGCAACGUUCGGUAGCCGGACUGAGAGGUCGGACGGCCACAUUGGGACUGAGACACGGCCCAAACUCCUACGGGAGGCAGCAGUGGGGGAUAUUGCACAAUGGAGGAAACUCUGAUGCAGCGACGCCGCGUGAGUGAAGAAGUAUUUCGGUAUGUAAAGCUCUAUCAGCAGGGAAGAUGAUGACGGUACCUGACUAAGAAGCCCCGGCUAACUACGUG